Molecule: unclassified non-coding RNA, 348 nt
Filed under: Hevea brasiliensis (rubber tree)
Lineage: Eukaryota; Viridiplantae; Streptophyta; Magnoliopsida; Malpighiales; Euphorbiaceae
Source: RNAcentral
CUGUCAGAUUCUCCAGCUGCCAGCCCCAAAAGUAAUGUGAAUCCUUUUGUGAACUUCAGUUACGUAAGACCCGCUGCCUCGUUCCUUCAAAAGAACAGCCGUGUAUUGUAGCUGCCAUGUUUAUGUGGUGUGAUUCUGAAAAAUUCAUUUAGGUAUUGUUUUGUGGGAUAUGUAGUUUCAACUCGCAAAGGAUGGUUGUGCCAAUGAACAAAGUUCAUUUCGAUUGUUGAAUUGUGUUUGAUAUUCUUAAUUAAGAUGUAUACAUUCAGGCAAAACGCUCCCUGUGGGCGUUUGAGAGUAUAAUAUGUUCUAGAAAUUGAUGACUUAUGUCUGAUAGUAACAUGUGCC